This 730-nucleotide ribosomal RNA is filed under the name uncultured bacterium. RNAcentral describes it as "bacterial SSU rRNA". It matches the Rfam family "Bacterial small subunit ribosomal RNA", at positions 771 to 1501 of the family's 1533-position model. The record is from RNAcentral.
AACAGGAUUAGAUACCCUGGUAGUCCACGCCGUAAACGAUGUCGACUUGGAGGUUGUUCCCUUGAGGAGUGGCUUCCGGAGCUAACGCGUUAAGUCGACCGCCUGGGGAGUACGGCCGCAAGGUUAAAACUCAAAUGAAUUGACGGGGGCCCGCACAAGCGGUGGAGCAUGUGGUUUAAUUCGAUGCAACGCGAAGAACCUUACCUACUCUUGACAUCCAGAGAACUUAGCAGAGAUGCUUUGGUGCCUUCGGGAACUCUGAGACAGGUGCUGCAUGGCUGUCGUCAGCUCGUGUUGUGAAAUGUUGGGUUAAGUCCCGCAACGAGCGCAACCCUUAUCCUUUGUUGCCAGCGAUUCGGUCGGGAACUCAAAGGAGACUGCCGGUGAUAAACCGGAGGAAGGUGGGGAUGACGUCAAGUCAUCAUGGCCCUUACGAGUAGGGCUACACACGUGCUACAAUGGCGCAUACAAAGAGAAGCGACCUCGCGAGAGCAAGCGGACCUCAUAAAGUGCGUCGUAGUCCGGAUCGGAGUCUGCAACUCGACUCCGUGAAGUCGGAAUCGCUAGUAAUCGUGGAUCAGAAUGCCACGGUGAAUACGUUCCCGGGCCUUGUACACACCGCCCGUCACACCAUGGGAGUGGGUUGCAAAAGAAGUGGGUAGCUUAACCUUCGGGAGGGCGCUUACCACUUUGUGAUUCAUGACUGGGGUGAAGUCGUAACAAGGUAACC